This 3486-nucleotide long non-coding RNA is filed under the name Homo sapiens (human). Its description in RNAcentral is "long non-coding RNA NONHSAT216068.1". The record is from RNAcentral. Lineage: Eukaryota; Metazoa; Chordata; Mammalia; Primates; Hominidae.
AUUGUGUCUUUGAGCGCGCAGCAUCGUGCUUUGUGCUGCCGGGGAUAACGGAUUCUGGGUCUCACACGCAUCCGUCACCUAAAACACCCUUAAACUGAACCAGGGUCUCCACAGCUGGAAGGGAAACAACGUGCUGGGACCCAGGCUGCUCUGAGCUACAAGGAUCCCAGGAGUGAAGGAAAUGUUUCAGGGAGCAGCCCAGGCAGCGGGGGGAGGAAGAAAGCCCUCGCACUCUUACCUCCACAUUGAAAUACUGCUCCGUUCCGCAGACUGUAGCACAUAAAAUCCAAAGCAAGGUUUGCAAGAAAAACACCCCCGAAUGAUGCACGAAAUCCAACCGUCUUCCAGUGCUGAAUGCACACGCACGCGCGCUUCUUAAAGGAGACGGCUCAUAAAGGAUUCCCCACUACGGCAGCAGAGGGGAAGAGGAGCCCACGGGAAAGAAAAGCAGGCGAGGUUAAGAAUAAAGAGUGUUCCAGGUAUGACAGCUACCUCGGUGAGGUGGAAGAGAGAAUUGACAAGGCAAAUUUCAUGGGUGAGUUGGAAAGGCAAGAAGCAGGACUACAAGAGGUCCUAUGUGGUAAGCAGAUGGAAAAUUCUGAGAAUGGUUUGCCAAAAAUUGUAUUAGACUGCAAUAACUUUUAUCCAAUAAAAGAAAAAAAGGCUGAGGAAUGGGACUUUGCAGCUGUUGCUGUAAAAAUGUAAGAAAUGCCCACCCAACUUGACCCAAGACCCAAGAAGUUCUCAGGGAGACCUUCCUGACAGUCUGCCUUGUGCCCAGCAUGUGCUGCCCACAAAAUAAUUUUGAAGAUGUAAUAAAAAGCAAUGUCUUAUAUUGUAUAGUACAUUAGAAUAUUCAGAAUGUUUCCAGACAUAGUAUCUCAUUUAAUUCUCACACCAUCUCUGAGGAUUUUGUUUUUAUUUUACAGAUGAAGUAAAUGAUAGCAAUAAAGCUAAUGUGACACAUUUGCAAGCAUAGCUGCACAUGUUCUGGUUUAAUUGGGAAAUCUCUCCUUUGACUUUCAGGAUAGCACAGAAGCAGAGACUUUAAGUCUAAACAGACCUAGAUUCAGAGCCGACCCGAUGCUGCUUGAAGAAGGCUGGAGGUAUGUUAAGGAGACAAGGGCUGUCAAGAAGCAGGGAUGUCUCUGGAAAGGGUGAGCAGCUGACGUCCUUUGUUCCCCUUGCUGCUGCCAUGUGAAGAAGGACAUGUUUGCUUCCCCUUCUGCCAUCAUUGUUAUUCAUGUUAGGCUCCUGAAAACACCACAAGGACCUACCCUCCGGGAGCCAGCCAGAGAACCCUUCUUCCUGCACUGUCUCCGUUAUGCCCAACAUUUCUGGGCAUAAGUUUUAAUAAACCUUACCUGGGAAAAGUUUGUUUGGCCUCGUGUUAAUUGCUAUUAUAUGGAGAGCCAAGAAUCUCGAACCAGUAAGAGUUGUGAAGUCACCCUCAAUAUUUCCCAAGUCUUCAAAGGAAUUGAGACACUAUAAUCAUUACCCAGGACUCCACGCUUGUCAAAUUUGUUGAUGACCUCCUACUUUGCAACCAAACUGAAUAGAAUGCUUGUAUAGACUCCCUAAUCCUUCUGAAGGUACUGACUGAGCAAGGCUACAAAGCCUCCAAAUCUAAAUGUCCGGAGUCUCACUCUGUUGCCCAGGAUGGAGUGCAGCGGCGAGAUCUCGGCUCACUGCAAGCUCUGCCUCCCGGGUUCACGCCAUUCUCCUGCCUCAGCCUUCUGAGUAGCUGGGACUACAGGCGCCCGCCACCACGCCCGGCUAAUUUUAUGUAUUUUUAGUAGAGACAGGGUUUCACCAUCUCUAUCUCCUGACCUCUUGAUCUGCCCGCCUCCGCCUCCCAAAGUGCUGGGAUUACAGGCGUGAGCCACAGCGCCCGGCCCAAAAAUCCAUUCUUAAUGGCUUUCUCUUCUGAUGCAAAAUCCUGAUUGCCUUCAAAUAUUACUAUUAGAUAGAAAUCUCCCCACCUUUAGCUGAAAGAGAUAAGGAGGUUUUGCACUGAGGAAACAAACAAACAAACAAGCAAACAACAUUCAUCAAUUUUUAAAAAAAGUAUGUAUUGAACUAUAGUCAGGUUCAAUGAGGAAAUGCAUUACAUUGUCACUAAACUGGCCUUAGUUGGAGAAAGAACACUGGCAGAUUAAUUAAAGUUAUUAGCGCUUAUGGUAGGAAACUGCAUGAUAUAUGUGAAAGAUCUUUUAGGGACUGGAAACACAGUGUAAAUUCAAACUCCUCCCAAAACUUUAACAAGGCUGGAUGAAAUGAAAGGAAUACUGUGAUUUCUACAAUUGACAACAGUGUCAGGCAUGCAGGAAACAAACAAAACCUUUUGAUGAAGGAAAAGUAACUUCUGGACAAAGUAUAAUUGGUUACAGGUAAACAGAUAUGUCAUCCAGGCAGAUAUGACAGUUUAUAGGAAAAAUAUAAUGUUAUGAUCUAAAAAAUGCAAGCCACAAACCUAUUGCCUGGGCAAUAAUUAGCCUGAAGUUGGGCUACUAAGGAGCUGGCUAAGCAGCAGUGAUAACACCAGAUACUGGAAGAAACUUCUGUGAUCAGAAACCAAUACAACUAGUGAACAAUUCACAGUAUUUCUAAAUCCGGGCACCAAGGAAGUUGUUUGGUUAGUCAUGAUGGAAGCCAGGAACAAAUAGAUCUCAAAUGUGUGAUAAUAAUUAUCAAGCGGAAUGUCUAGAAUAUUAUAGUGAGUGCCAAGAUUUCCAUCUAAGACAUUACCAACAUAGCAACUGAGGCAUGAAUUACAGGUUUUACACAAAAAAAGCAUUAUAAGAAUAAUACAUAUAAUAUAUUAACAGUUCAAAAGUGAAACAAACAUUUAUGAAUGGGCUACUCAGAUUUAAAAUAAAAUAUUGCCUGUUCAUUGAAUGCUUUCUGGAUUUUACUUUCUAAUUGUAUACCUCUCUUUCUUUCUUAAGAUAACUACUAUCAUAUAUUUGUUUUGGACUGCAUGUUAAUAAAAUUAUAUAAUAUGUAUUUUAUUAACUUCAUAAUAAAAAUACUUUUUAAAAUAAUGAGAAGUAAUACGACACGUAAAGAAACCUGGAUUGAAACAAAGAAAUGAAGAACACUAGAAAUGAAAUAAAUAAAGGAGAACGGAAAUCAAGAGAUGGCAUUUGAAGUUUCGCAAGUAUCCUGGCUUCCUCCCACACCCCAAAGCUGUGCACACGAGGUGAACUAGCGUACCCACAUGGACCUCAUCUGUGUGAGUGUGGGUGUGUUUGAGUGCACCCUCUGAUGGCAUAUCAUCCUGUCCAGGGUCGUUCUUCUAUUGCUCUGAACUGCCAGGAGUGGCUCUACCCACCUGUGACCCCAAACUCGUCUCAGCAGGCAUGGUUUCCCUUUAUCGCUGAAGCUGGAAUACAGGGAUUAUAGCUCACUGCAGCCUUCGGCUCCUGGGCUCAAGUGAUAAUCUUGCCUCGGUAUCCCAAGUUGCUGAGUACCUGAGACUAAAGG